ACCCUGAUGGUUGUAUGGUCGUUAGAUUGAAUUUUGUCCUUGUGAGAAUGAUGAAUAUUUCUUGGUCCUGAAGCAUGAUAUCUAAAUAACAUUGAUGUAUCUUGCAAACAACACAAGACCUGAUAUAACUUUUGUUGUAAACUUGUUAGCAAGAUUUAGUUAUUCUCCAAACAUAGACAGUGGAAUGGAAUUAAACAUGUAUUCAGAUAUCUCAGAAGGACCAUUAAUAUGAGAUUAUUUUAUUCAAAUGAUUCAAAAUCUCUAUUAGUUGGCUAUGCUAAUGUUGGUUAUUUAUCGAAUCCACAUAAAUGUUGAUCUCAAAUGGGAUAUUUAUUUGCAUGUGGGGGUACUGUCAUAUCAUGGCGUUCAACAAAGCAAACAUUAACUGCUGCUUCUUCGAAUCAUGCAGAAAUAAUUGCAAUGCAUGAGGCACGUCUAGAGUAUGUUUGGCUAAGGUUAUUGACCUAACAUAUCCAGAAGAUAUGUAAUUUGCCUUUACAGAAAAAGAUGCCAACUAUCUUAUAUGAAGAUAAUGCAACAUGUAUAGCUCAAUUGAAGGGUGGUUACAUCAAAAGUAACAGAACAAAACAUAUUUCACCAAAAUUAUUCUUCACCCAUGUUCUUGAGAAAAGAGGUGAUAUAAAUGUUCAACAAAUUCGUUCUAAUGAUAAUUUAGCAGAUUUUUUUUUAUUAAAGUAUUGCCAACUUUAAUAUUUGAAAGACUACUACACAUGAUUGGAAUGCGUCGACUUAAAGAUAUAAUGUCAUGUUGCCAUAGGGGGAGUCUAAGAACAAGUUGUACUAUUUUCCUUUAACUAAGGUUUUGUCCCAUUGGGUUUUCUUUGUAAAGGUUUUUAACGAGGCAGCUUGUAAUAAAAGAUUUUGUACUAUUUUUCCUUCAUUAUGUUUUUAUCCCACAGAGUUUUUCCUAAACAUUAUCUAUCAAUGGACAUCUAAGGGAGAGUGUUAUGAAUAUUUUAUUAAAUGGAUGUUCAUCAAGAUCAAGAUAAGUUUUGAUGUAGUUUAAAUUCUAAUAGUCAUUAGAAUUAGAUCUAUACUUCAUUUAUACUUCUUAUGCCUAUAAAUAGAUACUUUGAAGAAGUAUUAUAAUCAUCCCAUUUGAUCAAUAAAAUACAUUCUCUAUUGCUUCCCCUAUUUUAUUUGUUCUUCAUUAUUUUUAUCUCUCUUUAUUUUAUAACAAAAACUAAUUAUUUUGUAAUUAAAAGGUCAUAAAAAAUGAAAAUUAAAAAUAAAUAACUAAUAAAGGGUAAUUUUAUAUUUUUAUUUAAAAUACAUUGUGUAUAACCUUUGGAAUGCAUUUUUCAUUAAACUUGAGUAUUUUUUCAAAUGUAUAAAGAUAGUCCGUAACGUUUACAUUUUUUUAUUAAAUCAAUCAUCAAAAUUUCAAAAAAAGUUGAAUUGGUGCUUUUUAACAAAAAUAUCGACUAAAACGUUAAAAUUUUAAACAUGCCAGCUCAUAUGGCAAUCUAUGCAUACUUCAUGUAUUUUUUUUGAAUUAUUUGUUCUUUUUAAAUUAUUUCUUAACGUGACAUGUACGAUAAAUAGUAUCAUGUCAACAUGAAGUAUACACGAACUACCAUGCAAGUUGCCACACUAACAUCGUUAAAAAAAUUUAUGUUUUAGACAAUAUUUCCAUUAAAAAAAAAUCAAAAUGACACUUUUUGAAAGCUUAAUGGUCAAAUUUAACUCAAUAAAAAAUAAGAGCCAAAUUGGCAAAAAAAUAUCAAUAUUAAGGGCUAAAUCUAUCAUUAUGCCUUUUUCAAACCAAAGUGAUAGUUUAUAUAAUAUGUUUAAGUAGUUCAUAAAUAAUUAAAAAUUAGUAAAACGGAAAAGAAUAGAUUUUUAAAUAAAAAUAAACAUAGUCAUUAGUUGUAGAAAUGCAGAGUUGUAAAGAGAUUAUAAGAAACCAAGGUUUCACUAUGUUAGUUAAAAAUUGUUUGAUUAAAAAAGGGGAGGGGAGAUAUUAAUGUACUGAAAUGCAAUGAAUUUAUGCCAUUGUGGCUCAAGGCAUGAGUUCUUUCCCGGAAGACAUUAGUGUCACAGAUGUUUAUAGGGGGAUAGGUUCCAGUUAGAGCUGCAGAAAUUCAGAUACAUGGAAAUGUAUGUACCUAAUGAGUAAUAUCCAACAGUUGGGGAAGAAAGAGCUUAUUCCAGGCAGGGAGGAAAAUGGGGGCAUCUUUUUGCUUUAUGUCAAAAGGGCAAUAACCACAAGUACCCCCCUUUGAUUUCGGGGGAAAGUGGACCCUUUUGGUUCAAAUCAGUGUUUGUUCAACUAUGAAGCUCCUGCUGAUGUUGUGUUAUAGGAUUUCUUACUUGCAAACAGAAUCAAAUACAUAAUUGAUUAUGAAGCAACUUUUAAAGCAGGAAUAGAAUUUUUUCAAAGUCAUUGCUAAAUGAUGACAUGAUAUACAGAAAUUGGAAAUAUUCUAUCCAUUUCCCAAAUACACCAUGGGUUAUAAAUAGGAUACUAUAUACAUAAUUGUCACCAUCCAUCUACUGAUAUUAGACCCAAGGAGAUUGCUAAGCACUGUCAAGCUUUCAUCUUCUCCCUUGUAACCCAUCAUCUACUGCAUUACAAUCCCAGGCUUUCAAUGUGCCCAGAACGGUUUAGCUGGAGUGCGCUUCAGUGCCUUCACUGCCAAAGGAUUGCCCUUGCUCUGCCAAAAAAACAACUGUUUAAAACUUCAAUUGAAACAAAUAGAAUGAAAGGAUUGAUGACUUUGGACUUAAGCGUACCAUCAAGCAGGUGCCUUCAUGUAUGUUGCAGACAGGGUAGUCAUGAGGGCAGCAGCUGUAGCGAUCUUCGCAGCAAGUGGCAGCCUCGAGUGGGCAGCAUCCCCAAGCAAAGCAGUAGUUAUAGUACUCGUAUAUGCAGCAGCAGGUAUUGCUCUCGGGACAGGAAUAAUAACUAUCGCACACGGUCGGAGGCUUUAUAGGAGAUGGUGGAGACGGUCCGGGAUUGGGGGGAUUUUCACCUGUUUUGAUCGGAUAAGAGGCUUCCAUCGCGAUCCCACAUUUGCCAGUUACGGUAUUGGCCACAUUCCUUGCCAUCCUGAUAUAGCCUGCUUCUCCCCAGCUGCUUCCCCAUGAGUUCUUUACAAUCCAAUAGUCUUUACCUUUCUCUGUGCCAUAUCCAACAGCAGUGACACCGUGGUCUAGUUGUGUUCCACAUUUUCCAUCAAAUAU
RNAcentral lists this long non-coding RNA (3207 nucleotides) under Gossypium barbadense (sea-island cotton). Its description in RNAcentral is "long non-coding RNA (GBAR_LNC000375)". Lineage: Eukaryota; Viridiplantae; Streptophyta; Magnoliopsida; Malvales; Malvaceae. The record is from RNAcentral.